Long non-coding RNA from Colossoma macropomum (tambaqui), 203 nucleotides. RefSeq lists it as uncharacterized. The transcript is spliced from 3 exons. NCBI's taxonomy places the organism in Eukaryota, Metazoa, Chordata, Actinopteri, Characiformes, Serrasalmidae. The record is from RefSeq and is a predicted model, not a curated record.
GCAGAAACAGGAGCACCUCUAUGACUUUAUUGACGACAACAUGCCAACCACACAACCUGGUGACCAACUAAACACACAGGAAACCGUCUACCACCUGGCAACUUUUUCAGGAGUCCGGAUCACAGAUUACCAGCAGAGUGCGCAAGAGGCCACAGAACCCCUGAAAAACAACCAAACACAGACGGUAAACACACAAAACUCAC